This 70-nucleotide transfer RNA is filed under the name Kibdelosporangium phytohabitans. RNAcentral's name for it is "tRNA-OTHER". The record is from RNAcentral. Lineage: Bacteria; Bacillati; Actinomycetota; Actinomycetes; Pseudonocardiales; Pseudonocardiaceae.
GUAGAGGCCAUAUAGACGCUGGAAUCUGGGAUUCCUAAACCGUGUGUCGCAGGUUCGAUUCCUGCCGGGG